This 363-nucleotide ribosomal RNA is filed under the name Anopheles funestus (African malaria mosquito). RNAcentral's name for it is "eukaryotic large subunit ribosomal RNA". It matches the Rfam family "Eukaryotic large subunit ribosomal RNA", at positions 24 to 358 of the family's 3401-position model. Lineage: Eukaryota; Metazoa; Arthropoda; Insecta; Diptera; Culicidae. The record is from RNAcentral.
CCCCCAGAAUUUAAGCAUAUUAAUAAGGGGAGGAGAAGAAACCAACCGGGAUUCCCUGAGUAGCUGCGAGCGAAACGGGAGAAGCUCAGCACGUAGGGACGGUGUGUAACUGCACCUGUCCGAUUCCGUGUACUGGAACGACCAUUAUCUACUAUGCACGGUGCAAACAGUUCAAGUUCAACUUGAAGGUGGCUCAUCUACCCAGAGAGGGUUGAUAGGCCCGUAGAACGGCACUAACCCACGUGACAGUAGACGGUCGGCUCCAUGGAGUCGUGUUGCUUGAUAGUGCAGCACUAAGUGGGAGGUAAACUCCUUCUAAAGCUAAAUACCACCAUGGAGCCGACCGUCUACUGUCACGUGGGU